CCUUGCCAAGUGAUGGCUUUCUCUGACACUGCUACCGGUUCUGCAGCCACAGCUUUUGUUCUCGAAUCUCCUCCAGGGGUUCCUUGUCUUGUGCACCCUUGUCCACAAUAUACAGAAUCCCUCUUGUUUGUAGUUUCGCCUUCAGACGUUUAAUCAUUACCCCUGAUUAGCCAGAGCCCAAAAAUCUUAAAUGGGGAAUUCCAGAAAACUGCUGCUGGAUAAACCCAUCUGGCAUGCAGCAGCCAUGAGUGUGCUGGGUACUGAUAGGGUCAGGGACAGGUGGGUUGUGGUGCAAAGCAGCACUUACGGUCACACAGAAGAGACUUCAGGACCGUGGACAGAGCCAAAAGCCCACACCUUCACCAAAGAAGAAGACAGAAGAACAAUUAUUUCUGCAGAUUAAGCCAGGCAAGAGAGGCAGGCAGUGAGGUGAGCAAGGGCCACAAGGAAGGGAAGGUGGCUCAAAGGGCAAGGGCUGCAGAGGAAGCUUGGUGCCUGGCAACCUGCCCUCCGCCCAUCCCCAAGUUAACCUCUGUGGGCAGCAAAGCAUUAUUCCCAAAUCUAAAUCAAACCAAUUAUUCCUUCACCCCAAUUCUUUGCUUCCUGCUCAAAACUGCCAAACUUCCUUACUCCAGCCUCUGAGGUAAGAUGGCCAGGCCCUUGUUAACUCUGAUCUCAUCUACCCCUGACUCCCUUCCUUCCCGGAAACACAGGCUUUCCUAAUACUCCCAGGGGUGCCCAGUGCACGAUUAUCUCAGGACCUUAACACCUGCUACUCUCUCUCAUGCUUAACCCCGCUCCCCAUCCCGACAUGUAUGCAUGCCUUUCCUGCUUUCACCCUUCACCUCAGUUCUAAACUUAAAUCUUACUUUCACGUGGACGACCCAGUGCUUCUCCCACAACGACACCCCCAUCCGCCUCUUCUGUAGUACACUAUUUAUGUGUUUGUCAAUUGUCUGCCACUCUUGUGCAUGCAGUUUCCAUAGAAGAAGAGUGUCCUCGUUAGGGCUUCUAUUGCUGUGGUGAAACAGCAUGACCAAGAGCAAACUGGAAAGGAAAGGGUUUAUUUGACUUAUUUUCCACAUCAUCAAAGGAAGUCAGGACAGGAAGUCAGGACGGGAAGCAGACCAGGAACCUGGAGGCAGGAGCUGAUGCAGAGGUCAUGGAGGGAUGCUGUUCACUGGCUCUCUCAUUAUGGCUUGCUCAGCCUGCUCUCUUCUACAACCCAGGGCCAACAGCCCAGGGAUGGCACCACCCACAAUGGGCCCUCCCACCCUUGAUCACUAAUUGAGAAAAUGCCUUACAGCUAGAUCUCAUGGAGUUAUUUUCUCAACUGAAGUUCCCUCCUUUCAAAUGACUCGACCUUGUGUCAAGUUGACAUAAAACUGGCCAGCACCAAGGGUGUUUUAAUAUUUUGUUUAACGCUUCCUCUCUAGUGCCUAAUGCAUUCAUUCUGUCAUGCCCAACACACAACAGGGACUCAACUACAUUUGCUGAAUGAAUGGGAGAAGCUGAAGGGGAGAGCUACCUCAUUCCUAUAGAAACUAGUAACCAGGAGGUCCCUGACAGCCUUUUCUGGACCCUGGCCUGACAGAAUAGAAGCCUGGCAACAGCAGCAAGGCAGCGUGUGAGGGAAGAAGCGGGAACAGGGAAACAGUAUGUGAUACCUGUAAAAGGAAGCAAGGUUUAGUAAUGCCCGUGUUAAGGAUGCAGGAGACUUAAAUACUCACUUGUCAAGAAAGAGCACGCUGGGGCUGGAGAGAUGAUGCAGUGGUUUAGAGCACUGGCUGCUCUCACAGCAGACACAGUUUGGUUCCCAACACCGACACAAUGGCUAACGACCAUGUGUUGUCGCUCUAGUUGCAGGGGAUCCAACACUUUUCCAGCCUCCACGAGCACUGUACACACAUGGUGCACAGAUAUAUGUGCAGGUAAAGCGUGCACAUGCGUGAAAUAAAAAAUAAGUCGAAAAGCAGUGAGCUGUGGAAGAGAAUGGGGCAGAAGACACAGGUGGAAGGGGUACAGCUGCCAGCCCAAAAGACACUAAGGAGCUGUGUGUUACUAAUCAAAUAAAGCAGGCUGUCCCUGCACAGCUCACCCUAUAGGAAGAUUGCAUGUUCACAGGAAGCACAACCCAGAGGGCCUCUUGUGAGUUUCCCCCUUUCUCUGUCUAGGCCACCACACCAGAAACCUAGGGUUGAAAAUUCCUUCUGUCUGGACUGCUGGGAGAGGAAAGGAAAAACCUCCUUUGCAAAGUGCCUGGCAUUCGGGAUCACUCAACAAAACUCUGGGGCUACAAGAGCUGUCUCAGCAGUUAUAAACAUUUACUGCUCUUUCAGAGGACCUGAGAGUUCAGUUUCCAAUCCCCAUGUAAGGUGGUUCACAGUUGCUUUUAACUCCAGAUCGAGGGGAUGUGAUUCCAGUCUCUGUGGGCACCUGAGCGCAUGUACAUGUGUGCAUUCUCUCUCUCUCUCUCUCUCUCUCUCUCUCUCUCUCUCUCUCUCUCUCUCUCUCUCUGUGUGUGUGUGUGUGUGUGUGUGUGAAUGUUAUGUUCGUCUCUCUCCGACUCUCUGUUUCUGUCUCCAACCCUGUGUGUCCGUCUCUGUCUCUGUCUGUCUCGUCUCUGUCUCUCUGUCUACCUCUCUCUCUCUCUCUCUCUCUCUCUCUCUCUCUCUCUCUCUCUCUCUCUGUCACACACACACACACACGCACACACAGAUACACAUAAAUAAAAACCAAUUUUUAAAUUUCAAGUCCUCCCCUCUAAGGUCUUAUUUGUUCAGACAAGAAGAAAAUGUGACAAUGACUUCCUUAAUGAUAUCAACCAACACCAGGCUGUUUGUUUCUUGAUUGCAGCCAGGAAGUGGGACCUGCUGUGAUAUACAGGUAGGACAAAGGAUGCUGACAGUCCCCAGCACCACACCUUAAGCACCUCUGCACGAGGAAUACUAGGUACUCACACCAACCCAACCAGGGGUGUCCCGAGAAGCUGGAGAAUGUUUGGAGACCUUCACAUAUCAUGAUUCUCUGUUUUCAUGACCCCCAAAUGCUCAAGACAUCAGCCUGGGGCCCAGAUUCUAGCAAAUAGUGAAGAGGGUAGGCUUUGUGCUUGAUAGUUGGGAUUUUACCUCACAGCUAUGCCUCUAAACCAGCUGUGUCACCUCUGGCAAGUCACCCCUUCUCCCUGAGCAAAGCAGAUAUCAUACUUUCACUACACCCGUGGGGAAACUGAGAUUCUGUGAGAUAAAAUAACUCAGGCCAGGUGGCACAGGCUAUCAGUCAGUCUCAGCAGGAAGCCAAAGCCCGAGGAAGUAGAAAAACAUCUGAGUACACUGAGUAAAAGGUUUACUUGCAAAGACAGGAACAGGGCCAGGGAUGCCACAGGAAUCUGGAAGCACCUGGAAGUAGAUAUCACAAAGCAUCUUUUCCUGGAAGGAGUUUUCCUGCUCCCCCAAGUAUGGUAACGGACACGUGGCAAUGGCCACCAACCCACAGCCAUGAUUUGGGUUGAUGGAGCCCCUGGGGAGAAAUGAGAAACUGAAUAUCUGGCCUUACCCCCUCCUUCCAGCACAUCUCCAUGGAAUGGACUCAGUCAGAAGAUAUGGGGUCCAUAAAAUCAUUAAUACAGAGGACAAAUAGAUUUUACUACACACAGCUAACUCUUAGAUGGCAAAAUAUGGGCUUCUAAACAACAAAUGUCUUAUAGGGUCUUAGAAAAAUAUUAUGGAAUGCAUGAGUGUAUAGUUAGGAGGAAGGAUGCAUGAGCAAAUAAAUAAAUGGUGAAUGGCUGGAUGGAUAAAUGGAUGGGUGCUUCAUAAAUGCUGAAUGGGGGAGGCCCCAAGACCUGACACCAUUACUGAAGCUAUGGGGCAUUCACAAAAUGGGACCUACCACGACUGCUUUCCAAAAGACCCAACAAGCAGCUCAAAGAGUCAGAUGCAGAUAUGUGCACCCAACCCAGGUCUGGGUUCAGUCAGAGAAGAUAUACCCAACCCUUAAGAGACUGGAAGCCCUAGGAAGUUUAGAGGUCUGGUGGGAUGGGUAGGGACAUCCUUGUGGAGAUGGGAGGCGGAGAGUGUAUGGUAAGGGAGGAGGUGUGAGAUGUGGAAUCCCCAGGGGAUGGACCUGGAGGGGAAAAAACCUGGGGUAUAAAAAUAAUUUAAAAAUAAAUAAAUGCUGGCUGCUUAGAUGGUAGGAUGGAUGGAUAAAUGAUUGCUGGCUGGUUGGCUGGAUGAUGGAUGGCUAGAUGGUAGGAUAGAUGGAUGGCUAGAUGAUGGAUGGUUGGAUAGAUGGUUGGUUGGCUGGUUGGUUGGAUGGAUGGGUAGAUAGAUGGAUGAAUGGGUAGAUAGAUGGUAAGAUAGAUGGAUGGAUGGAUAGAUCAUUGGGUAGAUGGAUAGAUGGGUAAAUGGAUGGUUGGGAGAUGGUUGGAUGCUUGGAUGAUAGAUGGUUGGAUGAUGGAUGGAUGCUUGGAUGAUAGAUGGUUGGAUGAUGGAUGGUUGGUUGGCCGGUUGGAUGAAUGGGUGAAUGGAUGGAUAGAUAGAUGGUAGGAUAGAUAGAUGGAUGAUGGAUGGAUGGAUUUGAUGGUUGGAUGGAUGGAUGGGCAAAUGGAUGGAUGAUAGAUGGUAGGAUGGUUGGAUGAUGGAUGAAUGGAUGGUUGGGUAGAUGGGUAGAUGGUUGGAUGGAUGGAUAGAUGGUAGGAUGGAUAGAUAAAUGGAUGAUGGAUAGAUGGAUGAAUGGAUGGAUGGAUACUGGAUGCACAUAAGGAUGAAUAAGUCCUGCAGACUUCAUUCAUGUGGCUUUGAUUAAUCUCAUCACCUGAUUAGAAAUAUUAAGCUUCUUAGGUUUGUUUCUAAGCCAUAAAUGGAUUCUAAGAAUAAAAGCUUCCUUCCUAGAAUCUAAGUCCCUGUAGGAGUUACCUGUCACACUCUGGCCUCUGGCUCAUUUUUCCUGUGGCUGCUAGAGUUGUUCCUCCCCACAAGAUGCCAGCCCCAAGUCAGGCCAACAUGUAUGCUGCUACAAACAAAAGUGAAGAAAUGGUUGAGGUCAGAGGAGCCAGUCCUGCUCCCUCCCCUGGGGCUGGAAUGCAAGCCGAGGCAACAUGCUUCUCUGCCAGCCCAGGGAGCUAUGGAGUCUGACAGGGAGGGAAGGUGGAAAGGCAGGAUGUUCACUAUAAUUAUUUUCAUUGAUUUGUCUACUCGGAUCCCAAGCGCUGCGGAGCCGUUGUGACAUUUAAUAAAAAUAAUUCAAGGUAAAAAUACCUCUUUCUCUAUGCUUCCUCCUCCCCCUUCAUUAACACCACCUCAGCUUUCUGCCUCCUUGUCUGAUGGGUGCCCAGGACCAACUACAGAAAGAGGCAAACAAAGGUGGGGCUGGACCAUGGGAGAGAAAGCCUGAGAACUGAGGAGACCCACCAUCGCCAGAACUGUUCUUGUCUUCAGCCCUCUGAGUGUUGGGUGCCCACCCCCAAAACUCUGAGAUAGACUAAGUUAAGCAUGUAAGGUUGUAUCUGAAGCUGGGACUCCCUGAGGUAAAGGAGCAUGCUUUCCCAACAAUCUCUGCUUUUGCCUGAUGACCUCACUGCUGAUCUCCACCACCCCUCCCCUUGACCAUGGAGAACCCUCCCGUAUACCAAUUCUUACUCAUUUCCAACCCUGCCUAGGUUCUUCCUUCCCCUUCUGUGUCUGCUUUUCAUCAUGAAACAAAUAAUAUUCAAGCCAUGAUAGAGUAGAAUAAACUGAGAUACUAGAGUGGCAGCCCUUGUCACCUGGCCUAGCCCACCAACUACGUUCAUGACCUUGAGCCCCAACAGCACUCUGUCAUUUACUAUUCCUGAAGAAACUGAUGCAUAAGGAUAUGAACCCUGGACACACAGUCAGGAAGUGGCAGAGCUGGGCUCUGCCACGCUCUGUAGGAAGUCAAAAGCCUGCUUUCUCCCCUAAGAGUCCUGUUACCUCUCCAGAAUGUAUCUACAGUGUAUCCUAAGCCCCUGUCUCCUGCCUUCCAGAUAGACAAUCUCCUGGUAGGGAUCCAGUCUGACUCAGCAGCCAGAGUUCAAGAAGCAGGAGAGGAAACCGGAUCCUGAGCCCCCUUGACUUUGUGAAUCCUAAGAGCACAUGGAGCCAUCCCAGCCUGUCGGGGGCAGAUGUAAUCAGGGUGACCUCCCCUUUUUCACGGAUUCAUUAAAGUCUGUGUUCUGGGGUAAAUGAUUGCUUUCCCCUCGUCCUAUUGAAGGGAAAAGAAAAUCAAUUGCCUCCUUGUAGACCUUGUAGAUUUAGAAUGGGACAGUUGGCAAUUAGAAAACACUUCCCCCAGGCAGGCGGGGGUUGGGGGAGGGGGUUGAAGUUGACUCAGGUUGUUUCCCCUGUGUUCUGUCAGUGGCAUCCUGUCACUGACAUCCUGGUGAGGCCUCCUGGUUCAUCAAAGACUGGAGCAGUCCUGGUUGGGUCCAGAGAUGUCCCACCUGUGCCCCUGGGGUUCUAAGUUCCAUCUCUGCUUGCUGUUAGGACCUUCCUGAAGCUUCCACUCUUUCCCCUCCCCCACCCACCCCUGCCUGACGACUAAUGGAUUUUUCUCUGUGCGGAGAGAUUUACUAAACAACUGAACUAGGACGCAUUAAGUCUGUGGGUUUGGAGGUUUGUUUUAGAGCAAUUCUCGCCCGGAGAACUGGCCACUGAAAUUAAGAUGCAUUCUUCUCAGCAAAUAUUGAUUUCAACUCCAAGCAAAUCCGAGAAGCUGCUCGCUGGAUUUAAAUUCUGGCAGCUGCAGUGUGGACUGAAGGAGGGGGUCAACAAGGUGCUCCCCACUAGAGAGGCCCAGAAAACAAGGCAAUGGAGAAAACACAGUCAAAGCAGCGCUAGAAAGUAUCAUAAGGCCAGCCAAACGGAAACUCAUUUGGAGACUCAGCGGUCUAUUACCAAAUGGGAAAAGUGACCGUUGCCCCAUACACUGUGUCCACACCAGAAAAUUUAGGGACAUGCGAACACAUUAUAGAGGACCACAGCAUUCAGCAGAAUCAGACCGUAGGGAAUAUCUACAAGCCUCAGAAACUAUAGAUUAAAGAAGAUAUAAGCGAUACACCAGUCACCCAGGCCGGAAAGACCCUGUGGUUUCUGACUGUAAGAAGCAAAAAGGAAGGAGGAAAAGUCUAUGAGGCCUUCAGAGGCAUUCCAGUACGGGUAAGCUCUUUGACGAAACCAAGGAAUUACUGUUCAUGUUUUGGUGUCUGUAUCAAUUAGCUGCUGUCGCGUUAAAAGCCACCCCCAAAAUUGAUAGUUUAAAUGAACAACUGUUUUUGCUGUUUUGUUCUUUCAUGGUCCUGUGAGUCACAUAUUUAAGCGGAUCUCAGCUGAGGUGACUCAUGUCUAUCCUACAGUAUGAUCUCGAAUCGAUAUGGAGUCUCAACACUGGUGGCUCUGCUAUCUAAAGCUGAUCUGCAUCCCACCAACACGAAGAGAACCCAAAGGAUACAGACACAACACCCCGGUAGUAGCUGUGUCUAGAGCAUGGUCUCCUGCUUCCUCAGGUUAUACAAAUGAGUUGAGAAGUGGAGAACUUUCCUAGGCACCCCACGUCCUUUCCCUCUCCGGACACAACACAAAGUUGAAGCUUUGUACAAGCAGUGUGGCAGGGUGAAUAACUGCAAGCCCUGGAGCCCCAGGACUGGUGUUCCACCAUUAGUGUGCACUCUUGCCCAGGUUAUUUUGAGAUUUAUGACCUGGACCACUUUUGGAAUUGCAGAAGGUUGUGAUGAGGAAGUGAAAGACGGGCACAUCUGGAUCCAGAUGUUUGAAGGCUGUUGUCUGGAACUUGCCCCCAUCCAUCUCUUACCUGGCUUCCCUAUCAGUGACUGUCUUCCAGGGACUACCCUACUGGCAACAACAGGACCAUAUCCCAUCACCUUGGCAGCGAGCCUCUCAGGUUGGGGGCUCCCAGAACCAGCCCGGCAACAUGUGCAUUCCCAGAGAGAGAGAGAAAGAGAGGGAGUUGGGGGGAGAGGGAAUGCUCUGAUAGGCGGUGUGAUUCUUGGUCUGGCCCUGUGCCCGGAAAGAAUACAGACCUAAGGAGCCACACAGACGGAAGAGGGAAGGUGGUCCCUCAAAGGAGGGAGGGAGAUGGCGUCUGUACAGACUGAGCAAUGCAAUAGAGACUCUCCAGGCAUCAACUAUCACUCAUUCACUCGACGAACAUGUGUGUCUGCUGUCCGGUCAAGGCACUGGGAAUGCGGUAUGGAGCAAAGCAAAAGCCCUGGAGCUUGCGUUUCAGAGGCGGCGACAAAAACCACAGAUGUUGACAAGUUUACGCUGAGAUUACAGAUGGUGUUUUUCCACGAAGCAGAUCACCAGGGUACUGUGAGAGAGGAUGCAGGGAGAACCGUCCUGAAAUGGAGGAGCACAGGGAGGAGUUGGAAGACGGUACAAAGGGAGCCAUGAUUUUGGGAAUGACAUAUAGGUUGGGAUUCAAGUGAGAGACUUGGCUGCAGAGCCAGGAGAAGGACUCUGGGGAAAGAUUCCGGUACAUCUUGGGGAGAGUGAGGCUCAGACUGACGGAAUGUGUGACAAUGGCAGCCAGUAAAUUGUGCUCAUCUGUUGGAGGCAACGGUUAGGGUCUUGACAGCCACGUGGCCUGCUCUAGGAAAAGUGAUCUGGAGGGAGGCUUGUGACAAAAUGAGCAAGAAGGACCAACACUGUGGAGACAACCUGGAGGCAGGGACUGGGGGACCAUCUUUGAAUAGAUGUAUUUCCUUCUCUGCACACACGUCUUUAUGAAACAAGACAGAGGGCCAAGGAGAAGACACAGAAGAGUGAGGCCUGAUCUUUGACUUCUGCUUGCUCUUCAUGGGCUUCAACAAAAGGACUUCUCACCUCCACUCUGCAUUAGAAAGUUCUUCAGAUAUAAUCUCACAGGGUACUAAGGUUCAGAGAGGGCAAGUGACUUAUAACAAGCCACACAGAAGAACUGAGACUAGAUCCCCCCCCCCCCCCGCCUCUGUACAGAUGUUCCCAGCUUCUUCCACCCACCAGCUUUGUGUCUGUCCCUGGGCCUCUAAGCCAAUCUACCCCAUUUUGAAUAUGUGGAGACAGUAAAGAGACUCCUCAGUCCUUCCCACCUCAGGUCUAGGUCCUUCAGUUCUGCCUGGAUGGUCAGGAGUCACCUCCAGUGCCUCCAUGUCCAUCAUGUUUGUCCACCAUGACACAUCUGGGCUCAUCCCAAGUCAUUUAAAGGAGAUCCUACCUGCAACCUCCAGGGCUGUGUGCUCUUGGCUUGAAACUCAUCUGUUGACAGUGUGAUUUCUGAAGAGGGUACGUACUCCUUAGCUGCUGUAUCGACAGCAAGAGACACUCCUCCUCAGCUGUGAUGCUGGCAGCAAGCAGGGGAGUCUGGAGCAUGGUAGAAGGAGGUGCCUGCCUGGGCAGAGGAGAGUGCCUUUCUCCCUACCCUAACUCCUGUAACUAUCUUCACUCUCUUCUCUCCUGAAGAUCUGAUGGCUAUGACAGCUGCUUAGAGAAGUCAUAAGGCAGGCAAAGGACUUACAGGACAUCAGGAGGCCCUAAGGGAGAGGACCUCAGGAUUGGUGACAAUUCUGCCCCACCCCCUACAAUGAGGUACCAAUAUGGUCACAGAUACCUUCCUUAGUCAUAGCAACAAUUAUUGAUUGCUGAACUUACCAGAGUUUCGCCAAAGCUGUCAGUUACCACAAGCUGUUUGUUCAUUACAGAGAUAUGGGGCUAUUGUUCUAUGAGGUUGUUUGGUUAUUGUUUUGAGACAGAGUCUAGCUAUAUAGCCAAGGCUAGCCUAGAACUCCUUAUACAGACUAGCCCUCACCCUGUGAUCCUGCUUCUAGCAUUCCAAAUGCUGGAGUUACAAGCAUGUGUUACCAAACGUGGCUCUUUGCCCUUAUUCAUUGAUGGUUAGGACAGAAUUUGUAGCUGUGCCUUUUAGUUAGGGAGUUAUUCUAAGGGAUUCCCCCCAACCCCAUCCCUCUUGGACCCUACUCCAGGGCAGAAGGAAGGAGCAGUCUAGGAAUGGUUGUCAAAUAAAAUACAGAGCACUGAAUGUCAGACAAACAGAAAGUUUCAGUUUAAGUGUAUUCAAACCUUGCAUGGGAUAUACCUUUGUUAAAAUGUCCUGGCUUCCCUUUGUUUAUUGACUAAUCUAAGCCAGAACCAGGUGGGGUGGGGAGAAGUGGUGUUAGAAGUCUUGAGGCCCUGCCCCCACCUUCCCACCCUCCCACCCCUCACCCCCUAACCUCCCACCCCCACCCUCCCACCCCCCACUUCCCUAACCUCCCCCUCCCCACCCUCCCACCUCCCCACCCCCCUAACCUCCUACCCCACUCAUCCACCCACAUACCUCCCAUCCCCCCACCCUCACCUCAAUAUAUUCUUACUGCCAUGAGGCUAGGGAAAAGCUGUGAGGGCAGGUCCUCAGAGAAAGGUCGGGGAGGUGGGGGCAGGGGGCGGUGAGGGAGAGACAGAACAGAAUUAGAUAGAGAGACCUGAUCUUCUAGGAGGUCACUUGUCCCCACAGCACCGGGCCGGUUGGGUGGGUGGUGGCGCCAGAUCACUAAGUUAAGGCCAGGGGCACCUGUGUUCUGGCGCACAGACAGCCGCGUGGAGCCACAAAGCCUCUUAGAGGUAAAUUAUCUCCCUUCCAGUCAGCAGCACCCCAGCAGAGAGAGCCAGCAGGAGCCGAUUACCCUGACACUCCGGGACUGUUUUUAAGCUUCUCUCUUGCCGGCUGUCUUAAAGACUCAUCCCUGCCCCCAGUUCUUGUGGUCUCCAAGCAUCUGCUCAGGACUCCCAAGCACCCAGUGCUAAUCGCCUGAUGUUUAGAACAUCUGGGGAUCUGGAAGCAACGCUCCAGCUUUGCCUCCUUGUUUCUCCCAAGACCCGACGUCUUCAGAAUCCUCACACCCUACCCUGAACCCCAAACACCAUCAAUGCACUCAGACCUCAGGGACCUAAAUACACCUGAGAGGGGCUGAGGUCAGCACCCUGGAACAUAUCUUCAAAAGCAAAUUCCUCUGGAGCCCUAUCCUGCAGCUCCCUACACUCUUUACUUCAGAGCUAGAGAGACCUCUAGGUAAGGGACCAGGUUGCCUUCUGGGUAAGGGAACCCGAGAGAAUGGCCAGCUCUCCGAGCAUAGGAAAGACAAGGGCCAAUAACUCCUGUAUCCUGGAGAGGUCUGGGUACAGGAAAGCGGGGAAAGGGAGAACUAAGGGGACUAACGCCACUGUGUACCUGUGGAGGACAACAGGCAGGCUUCAUAGCAGAAAUGAACCUAUUCUCCCCUCUGUGGCAAAAGAUGUCUUCCAGCCACCAGUCCUGCGCCUGCCCCUUCAGGAGUAUGUCCUGGUCCUUUGCAGAACUGCCAGCUGCUCCUUUGCCUGAGUCCAGCUCCCUCAGCUCUGCCCAAUGGCUCUGGGUCAGACUCUGUACCCACCACCCUCAGAAUAUCUGAGCCCAUUAGCCGAUCAGGACAAGCCUAGACUCGAGGUCCACGGAGCAGCCUCUGACCCCAUUUCCCUGUGCCACCCAGUUUACCUCAUCACUUCAGACAGAACCCUCUGGACCAUGAGCCCAGAUAGAUCAUCCCUGUACAAGUGCUUGUCUUGAAUAAUUUAUCACCAUGGUAGGAAGUCUAGCUGUCACACCUGCUGGAUACCCUGCACAGGGGUCAGGAGGUAUCCAGAGCAAGCUUUGCUUCUGUUGUCAUUGUGGUUCCCAAUAGUUACGCACUCACCUGGCCUGAAUUUACUAAUUUGUUUGUUUUGUUUUGUGGCUGUUUUGUUUUUCUUUCUUUGGAGCAAUUUAGUAAGGUUACUCUUGUUAUUUCAUGUUUUCCUGUACAUGAUAACUUGUGAAGGCAAGACCAACACUCAGAUAUUACAUCAUCCUUUAAAAUAUGAUGAAUUAUUAAUUUGACUUUUUUCUUGAGCUACUCUGAAAGUAAACAGUUGCAUUUCAAAGA
Rattus norvegicus (Norway rat) is the source of this 11971-nucleotide non-coding RNA. NCBI's taxonomy places the organism in Eukaryota, Metazoa, Chordata, Mammalia, Rodentia, Muridae. The record is from RefSeq and is a predicted model, not a curated record.